Molecule: ribosomal RNA, 464 nt
Filed under: uncultured bacterium
Lineage: Bacteria
Description: partial 16S ribosomal RNA
Rfam family: Bacterial small subunit ribosomal RNA
Source: RNAcentral
CUACGGGUCGCUCCAGUGAGGAAUAUUGCGCAAUGGGCGAAAGCCUGACGCAGCGACGCCGCGUGGAGGAUGAAGGCCUUCGGGUUGUAAACUCCUGUUAAGUGGGAAGAAAUCUUUGUCAAUAAUACGGACAAAGGAUGACGGUACCAUUAGAGAAAGCACCGGCUAACUUCGUGCCAGCAGCCGCGGUAAUACGAGGGGUGCUAGCGUUAUUCGGAAUUACUGGUCGUAAAGGGUGUGUAGGCGGUUUGCCAAGUCCGCUGUUAAAUCUUUCAGCCUAACUGAAAGCUUGCGGUGGAAACUGGCUUACUUGAGAACGGAAGAGAGAGGUGGAAUUCUCGGAGUAGCGGUAAAAUGCGUGGAUCUCGAGAGGAACACCGAUGGCGAAGGCAGCCUCUUGGUCCGUUUCUGACGCUGAGACACGAAAGCGUGGGGAGCGAACAGGAUUAGAUACCCCUGUAGUC